This 399-nucleotide unclassified non-coding RNA is filed under the name soil metagenome. RNAcentral describes it as "partial contains 5.8S ribosomal RNA, internal transcribed spacer 2, and large subunit ribosomal RNA". The stretch from base 1 to 122 matches the Rfam family "5.8S ribosomal RNA", at positions 35 to 154 of the family's 154-position model. The record is from RNAcentral.
GAUGAAGAACGCAGCGAAAUGCGAUACUUGGUGUGAAUUGCAGAAUCCCGUGAACCAUCGAGUCUUUGAACGCAAGUUGCGCCUCAAGCCAUUAGGUUGAGGGCACGUCUGCCUGGGCGUCACAUAUCGUUGCCUGAUGCCAAUUUCCUCGUGAUGGGUGACUGUGCAGGGCGAAUGAUGGCUUCCCGUGAGCAUUGUUGCCUCAUGGUUGGUUGAAAAUUGAGUCCUUGGUAGGGAGCGCCGUGAUAGAUGGUGGUUGAGUGACGAACGAGACCCAAUCAUGUGAGACCCCUACCGAAUUUGGCCUUCAUGACCCACAUGCGUCUUUGGAACGCUCAUGACGAGACCUCAGGUCAGGCGGGGCUACCCGCUGAGUUUAAGCAUACAAUAAGCGGAGGA